AGUGAACGCUGGCGGUAGGCCUAACACAUGCAAGUCGAACGGCAGCACAGGAGAGCUUGCUCUCUGGGUGGCGAGUGGCGGACGGGUGAGGAAUACAUCGGAAUCUACUUUUUCGUGGGGGAUAACGUAGGGAAACUUACGCUAAUACCGCAUACGACCUACGGGUGAAAGCAGGGGACCUUCGGGCCUUGCGCGAUUGAAUGAGCCGAUGUCGGAUUAGCUAGUUGGCGGGGUAAAGGCCCACCAAGGCGAAGAUCCGUAGCUGGUCUGAGAGGAUGAUCAGCCACACUGGAACUGAGACACGGUCCAGACUCCUACGGGAGGCAGCAGUGGGGAAUUUUGGACAAUGGACGCAAGUCUGAUCCAGCAAUGCCGCGUGCAGGACGAAGGCCUUCGGGUUGUAAACUGCUUUUGUACGGAACGAAACGGUGAGCUCUAAUACAGUUUGCUAAUGACGGUACCGUAAGAAUAAGCACCGGCUAACUACGUGCCAGCCGCCGCCGUAA
RNAcentral lists this ribosomal RNA (506 nucleotides) under uncultured bacterium. RNAcentral's name for it is "partial 16S ribosomal RNA". It matches the Rfam family "Bacterial small subunit ribosomal RNA", at positions 29 to 523 of the family's 1533-position model. The record is from RNAcentral.